RNAcentral lists this ribosomal RNA (467 nucleotides) under uncultured bacterium. RNAcentral's name for it is "partial 16S ribosomal RNA". It matches the Rfam family "Bacterial small subunit ribosomal RNA", at positions 29 to 507 of the family's 1533-position model. The record is from RNAcentral.
ACGAACGCUGGCGGCGUGCUUAACCCCUGCAAGUCGAACGGAAAGGCCCUGCUUUUGUGGGGUGCUCGAGUGGCGAACGGGUGAGUAACACGUGAGUAACCUGCCCUUGACUUUGGGAUAACUUCAGGAAACUGGGGCUAAUACCGGAUAGGAGCUCCUGCUGCAUGGUGGGGGUUGGAAAGUUUCGGCGGUUGGGGAUGGACUCGCGGCUUAUCAGCUUGUUGGUGGGGUAGUGGCUUACCAAGGCUUUGACGGGUAGCCGGCCUGAGAGGGUGACCGGCCACAUUGGGACUGAGAUACGGCCCAGACGCCUACGGGAGGCAGCAGUGGGGAAUAUUGCACAAUGGGCGGAAGCCUGAUGCAGCAACGCCGCGUGCGGGAUGACGGCCUUCGGGUUGUAAACCGCUUUCGCCUGUGACGAAGCGUGAGUGACGGUAAUGGGUAAAGAAGCACCGGCUAACUACGUG